This 3074-nucleotide long non-coding RNA is filed under the name Apteryx rowi (Okarito brown kiwi). RNAcentral's name for it is "lncRNA (ENSARWG00000011160.1)". Lineage: Eukaryota; Metazoa; Chordata; Aves; Apterygiformes; Apterygidae. The record is from RNAcentral.
AAGUAUUGACCUACCCGAUCAGCCAAGGGGAAAGGUGCUAGGGGUGUCUGAGCCUAGCAGAGGGGGGCAGGAAGGUGUGUGUGUGGCUAGUCCUGCCCUACUGUUGUCAGCUUGAGCAGACUCCAGCCACCAAGCAAGUUAACUACAAUCUGCUGUAUGGAAUGAUUUUCUCUUUCGCAGGGGAGACGUGUUUCUUCUCUUAAGUGCGRUAUGCUGGCACGGAGCAGCGUUUCCUUCCAAUACUCAAAACUCACGUCGCUGAGGCUGUGAAACAAGGGUAUGAAGAGCAGGAACAGGAGUGGCCGGUAUCGUUCAUCCUGGGUUCUCCAGAAGCCUGUAGUUGUAAGGAAUUGCGUCAUGUGAAGCAUCCUCGCUGCCAUGUCCUUGGUGACCUGGGACAUCCAGUUGGGGCCACCCUGCCGUGCGUCACCGUCUUCUCCCAUGGGUUCCUUGGGCCUGCUGGCAGGGGAGACACUGGGAGGACCAUUCUGUUGCUGCCAAGACAAUAACCCUACAGAUUCAAAGUCUGCAAAAUGGGGAUGCACUGAUGCUGAGAUGUCUCUGCCUGCAUGUUCCCGAAGCAGAUUUUGGUAUCCCUGGCAGCUCCACUUGCCUGUCCACUCCUGCUUGGGUGAGUUUCUGCCUGCUCAGUGUGGCUUGGAGCACCAGACUCUUGGGCUGGGAAGAACUUGGCUAUGCUGUUGCAUUGCCUUGGAGGGCACUGGUCCCCCAUGUUCUGUAAGCGCCGUCUCACGAGCUCCAAGACGUGUUCAUUGAUGCCCUGAACAGCCUGAAGCUGCAUCACGAGGGAUGUCCGGCUGUAUGUGGAGCUUGUGGGCUGCCAGCAGUAUGCACCUCCCUGCCAGGAUGAGAGACUUGGCUGCAGGACACAUCUCCUCCUUGAAUACCUCAUCGCCGGACUCCUCAGCCAGCCUGGAACAGAAGCUGCUGGUCACAGCUCUUCACCAUCCCCUGAGCACCACCCUUGAGCAGAAGGGGCAAGGACGCUCAGCCGGUGAUGGCCGGCCCUGGUGUCCCCCUGCUGUGCAUUUGAUGUGGGUCCAAGGGAGAGCCUUUAGCCCUAUGGCUCAGCCAGUUUGGCCUUGCCAAAUGCUAGUGAUAUGACUCAGGCUUUAGCACAAUAAUUAGCCAUGCCAGGUCUGGUCAUUGCCCAGUAAUAAUUGCCUAAUCUGUGAUUUUGAGCUCCAGUUUACUGAAACAUUCAGUAAAUUGGAUGACUAUUACUUUAAUGGUGUGUUUAGAUCAAAUAUUGCAUGUUUGGGUUUUGCUUACUUUGUGCAGCUGCGAGGUUUUACCCCAAAAGAAAUCAGUCCAUACUUGGAGGAGGACUAGCAGAUUUAGAACAUCCUUAUAUAAUUAAGUUUGUGAGACAGUCAGAAAGAAGUGGUAGCAAAUAAGCUUUUCAAAACAUAAAAAAAAAAACCCUGAGUGGACCAAGACUGAGGAGGAAUAACCCCCCUCCAGCAACACCUACAUAUCCUGGUGAAGAAUUUGGGAUGCUGACAACUCACUAUACCCUUCCACUUGAGGAAGAAGGGCCCUCAACCUUGGUGCAUGGAUGCUGCGAAGAGAAUUUCACAGUGGAGAGAAGAGGCAGGUACUUGUAUCUAUUGAUUUUAUUGUGUCACUAAUGAUUCUUAACAGAAAUUGGGUGAUUUGGAUUACCAAUGUUAGUAUUCUUGUAAUGGGACUAAUAAUAAGUGGCUGUUGUAGUUUGCUUUGCCUGCUAAAACAACAAUCAGAUCAAUCAAACUAACAAUAGUUAAAAAUUCUUUUGGACCUGCGAGCUCUGUCCUUUGGUUCCCCAUAACUAAACUGUGCGGGCAGUAAGGUUCAGGCAUGUCUUGAGGGUGGAAAGCACCCUGCAGUGAGAGCUUGAAGCUAGUCUUACUCCUCAAGAAGAAAGUUAAAGGCAGGUGGGUCACAGACCUGCGACAGGAGCUGCACAGCUUGCACACUCUGCUCUCCUCAGGACCCUUCUUAGCUGGCCAGUGGGACUGUCGGGCAGUCACCGCCUGGGAAAGGGGGUAAUGCAAAGCACUGGGGGUCAGCACCCUCAGGCACUGAGGAAGGAAGGGCAUUUUUCCACGGGGCUGGUACAGCACAGUUGUCUCGCCCAAAGGGCUGACCAAGGACAGGCUGUGCUUAGGUGUAUGAGAGAUGUCAGGAAGAGCUGUGAAGAGCAGGGAGGGAAGCAACAUGGAGGACAGGAUGGUACAYAGGUCAGACAAGACGCAGGAAGGCUGCAAGGAGCAAAGGGAGCUGAACGGGUGGCAGGAUGCCAAAUGUUUGAAUCCCUUAGCUGGGCUCCUCCUGGGAAUUAGCAAAGCCACUGGUGGCACUGGGAGAGCGUCACCCCUCUGAUCAGCUCUGGUGGGGGGAUCAAGAUCACACAUGCAGCCAGGGGAAUGCAUGGCUGAUUUCUGGCAGCAAAGAGACACCAACAUAGUGGGCUUGAGUUCCUCUAUGCCGUGUCUCCUCCAAGCACUUAAAGAUAGCCCUGCUUUGGCCCAUCAUCUUCUCCUUUCCUAAUCCUGUUCCCCAUCCUGCACAGUUCACCAGCUGUCUUUCCCAGGAGCUGUGUCUUGGCCCAGCUGUUUCCUCUACCCCCCAUCCUUUCCUCUUCAUCAUUUUACUCUCCAGCCAUGUUCCCACCUCUCCAGCAGGGUGCAAACAGGGAGCACAGGAGAGACAGGCUCCAUGCUCUCCAAAUGCCUCCCAGCCCACAGUUUCCUUGCCCUCCCUUCCUUCUCCUCCCUAGCCCCCAAAUCUGCUCAGGAGACACCCAGCAAAAUUACCUUCUUGCAACAGAAGCAAGUUCUUCAGUGGCUUUGGCUAAUUUUUCUGCAUUCUCCCCUAAAUUGGGAAAGUCCUGACAAAUCCCAUCUUUCCAUUCCAGGGCUAUGAUUAGAUGACAGAGCUGCGCAGACAUGGGGCAAAGGAUCCUUUCAACAGUUUUGUUUUCUGUUAUAGUCACAAGGUCAUAAAGAGGCUCCAUUGUGUCCUGCCUGGAAACAGGAAAUAAACCCUGGGAUUAUUUGGGAUCCUUUGCA